GCCCAGGUAGCUCAGUUGGUAGAGCACGCGACUGAAAAUCGCGGUGUCGGUGGUUCGAAUCCGCCCCUGGGCACCA
This 76-nucleotide transfer RNA is filed under the name Rhodospirillaceae bacterium. Its description in RNAcentral is "tRNA-Phe". It matches the Rfam family "tRNA". From Rfam's summary of the family: Transfer RNA (tRNA) molecules are approximately 80 nucleotides in length. Their secondary structure includes four short double-helical elements and three loops (D, anti-codon, and T loops). Further hydrogen bonds mediate the characteristic L-shaped molecular structure. tRNAs have two regions of fundamental functional importance: the anti-codon, which is responsible for specific mRNA codon recognition, and the 3' end, to which the tRNAs corresponding amino acid is attached (by aminoacyl-tRNA synthetases). tRNAs cope with the degeneracy of the genetic code in two manners: having more than one tRNA (with a specific anti-codon) for a particular amino acid; and 'wobble' base-pairing, i.e. permitting non-standard base-pairing at the 3rd anti-codon position. RNAcentral also lists the same sequence under 2 other names. The record is from RNAcentral. Lineage: Bacteria; Pseudomonadati; Pseudomonadota; Alphaproteobacteria; Rhodospirillales; Rhodospirillaceae.